UGGGGAAUAUUGCACAAUGGGGGAAACCCUGAUGCAGCGACGCCGCGUGAGCGAAGAAGGUUUUCGAAUCGUAAAGCUCUGUCCUAUGGGAAGAUAAUGACGGUACCAUAGGAGGAAGCCCCGGCUAACUACGUGCCAGCAGCCGCGGUAAUACGUAGGGGGCAAGCGUUGUCCGGAAUCACUGGGCGUAAAGGGUUCGCAGGCGGAAAUGCAAGUCAGUUGUGAAAGGCAGAGGCUCAACCUCUGUAAGCAAUUGAAACUGUAUUUCUUGAGAUGUGGAGAGGCAAGUGGAAUUCCUAGUGUAGCGGUGAAAUGCGUAGAUAUUAGGAAGAAUACCGGUGGCGAAGGCGACUUGCCGGACACAAACUGACGCUGAGGAACGAAAGCGUGGGUAGCAAACAGG
Molecule: ribosomal RNA, 403 nt
Filed under: Fusobacteriota bacterium
Lineage: Bacteria; Fusobacteriati; Fusobacteriota
Description: Fusobacteria bacterium partial 16S ribosomal RNA
Rfam family: Bacterial small subunit ribosomal RNA
Source: RNAcentral